GUGAGGAAUAUUGCGCAAUGGAGGCAACUCUGACGCAGCCAUGCCGCGUGCAGGAAGAAGGCGCUACGCGUUGUAAACUGCUUUUAACCGGGAAGAAACCCCAGGACGUGUCCUGGGUUGACGGUACCGGAGGAAUAAGCACCGGCUAACUUCGUGCCAGCAGCCGCGGUAAUACGAAGGGUGCAAGCGUUAUCCGGAUUCAUUGGGUUUAAAGGGUGCGUAGGCGGAGCGUUAAGUCAGUGGUGAAAUCCUGCAGCUUAACUGUAGACUUGCCAUUGAUACUGGCGCUCUUUAGUGCGCUUGAAGUGGGCGGAAUGUGCCGUGUAGCGGUGAAAUGCUUAGAUAUGGCACAGAACACCAAUUGCGAAGGCAGCUCACUAAGGCGAUACUGACGCUGAGGCACGAAAGCGUGGGGAUCGAACAGGAUUAGAAACCCGGGUAGUCC
Molecule: ribosomal RNA, 445 nt
Filed under: uncultured bacterium
Lineage: Bacteria
Description: partial 16S ribosomal RNA
Rfam family: Bacterial small subunit ribosomal RNA
Source: RNAcentral